UGGGGAAUCUUGCGCAAUGGGCGAAAGCCUGACGCAGCGACGCCGCGUGGGGGAUGAAGCCCUUCGGGGUGUAAACCCCUUUCGACCCGGACGAAUGGCCCGCAAGGGAGUUGACGGUACGGGUAGAAGAAGCCCCGGCUAACUACGUGCCAGCAGCCGCGGUAAAACGUAGGGGGCCAGCGUUGCUCGGAAUUACUGGGCGUAAAGGGUCCGUAGGCGGUGUGGCAAGUCGGGAGUGAAAUCUCAUGGCUUAACUGUGAGACUGCUUCCGAAACUGCUGUGCUCGAGUGCGGGAGAGGCGAGUGGAAUUGCCGGUGUAGCGGUGAAAUGCGUAGAUAUCGGCAGGAACACCCGUGGCGAAGGCGGCUCGCUGGACCGCAACUGACGCUGAGGGACGAAAGCUAGGGGAGCAAACAGGAUUAGAUACCCUGGUAGUCCUAGCCCUAAACCAUCAGGACUUGGCGUGCAUCCCGUUUGGGGUGCGUGCCGGAGCUAACGCGUUAAGUCCUGCGCCUGGGGAGUACGGUCGCAAGGCUG
RNAcentral lists this ribosomal RNA (537 nucleotides) under uncultured bacterium. Its description in RNAcentral is "bacterial SSU rRNA". It matches the Rfam family "Bacterial small subunit ribosomal RNA", at positions 355 to 896 of the family's 1533-position model. The record is from RNAcentral.